This is a long non-coding RNA of Crotalus tigris (Tiger rattlesnake), 4008 nucleotides long. RefSeq lists it as uncharacterized. The record is from RefSeq and is a predicted model, not a curated record. Lineage: Eukaryota; Metazoa; Chordata; Lepidosauria; Squamata; Viperidae. The transcript has 2 exons.
GCUAGAAAAGGAGCAGUGCAAAACUGGAAGGUAUUAGGUAUCCCUAAGAAGAGUGCAAAUUGACCGUUGAUGGAGGAAGUGAUACUUGGUUGCUGGGGUAAGCAAAAGUUUGUUUUCCCAAACACGGAAGUUGGCUUUUAGUAUCUUCCCAGGAACAUUAUCUUCUCAAAGGGAAGUUCUCUUGCUGUUUUCUAGAACCAUCAUCCAAUUCUAUCUGCUGUUAGCAUGGUGAGUUCACAACACAUCUUAAAAUGCCACUGUCUUCCGCCUGUGCGGAGAUGAAUCUGGUUUAUAUCUUGGCUACAGCUGAUAGCCCUGUUUCUCUUGCUGCGUAUCUCUGUUGUUAAUAGAAACUCUAAUCGCUUUGGCACUGGUACCCAGAUCAGAUUGCUUGGGGCACUGGAACAACUGGGAGGUGGCCAGAGUUGAUGCAUUAUUUCAGCAGCUAUUUGUGAACGAAUUUCGGCCAAUUCCUAGAAUGGGUAUCUAUGCUUUGGGGCUCUGUAACGUCCCCUACAAAGGCAUCAACGCGUCUCACAGGCAGACUGAUUAAAAAAAAAUACCCAACCUGGUCAGACACUCUGAUUCUCACAUAAUUCUCCUGCAUUCAAACCUAACAUGCAGCCUGAACUUUCUUCUUCUUCCUCUUAUGUCAAAAAUGCCUUCUGCAGAUUUAUUGGUCAGGAAGAGAAGCUAAUUCAAAUAACAGCAAGGGUAGCCUGCUUUAAUGGUUACCUUGCAGUAACAAUUAAGGUUAUGUUUAAUUUUCAAACUGUGCAACAGAAAAUUAUGCAUUUCUCCUAAUGAAAAAAAGGGAACACAAUGGCUCAGUAUUAAAGAUGCUAAGUUUGUCAAGACCCAAGCGCCGUGCAACGGGGUGAGUUCCCUCAGCUCCUGCCCAGCUAGCAGUUUGAAAGCAUGCAAAUGCGAGUAAAUAAAUAGGUACCACUUUGGUAGGAAGGUAACAGUGUUCCAUGUGCCUUUGGUGUAUAGCCGUGCUGGCCAUAUGAGUGUGGAAAAUGUCUUUGGACAAUGUGGGCUCCCUCAGCCCAAAAACGGAGAUGAGCACUGUGCCCUAGAAUCAAACACGAGUGGAUAGGAAAACCUUUAACUUUUACCUGAUGAAAACAGAGGAUCAGACUUAGAAGUACAUAGGAAAACUUGGAAACAUAAAUAAAUCUUCAGGGUAGAAGUGCUCCUCAUAUACUGAAUUCAGAUAUUAAUAUGCAUCUUCUAAGAACGUUAUUCUGCCUAACAGAUUCUCCCAAUAAAAGGACCAAAUAUUUUUGAAAAUCUUCCCAAGCCAGAAUCUAAUAACCUUAUUCAAAAGGUUAUUCCACACUUUUAAAACUUCUCUACCAAUUAACAUCAUUUGGUAUUGAGUGGAAUUGAAGAAGACAUCAAAACUUAAAAGUGUUUAACUACCGUAUAUUUUUUUUCAAACUCUGUUGGACAUCAAUAUAUUCUUUUUUUCUGUCUCUUCCCUUUAAAACGUGGGAGAGGAAUGUGAAGGAUUCAUGCAGUUUAAACAGGCCUGUGGCAAGUGAGGUAUAUGCUGAUGUAUACUGAGGAAAAAAAGAAUUUUUAGUCAUAUGAGAUGAUAGUGUUACCAUGCUAAAUGGGAACAAAUCACAGUGUGCGAUUUAUGUUAUAUGAUUGAAAACGAAAAGAUUGCCACUAUUGUGAAAGGAAUAUGGACUGUAUUUGAGUAUUUGUAGAAGAGAGUGAAGAAUUAAAAACUGCGGAUGAUCAAUUUCCAGUUUGGAGGGCAGAAAAUAAGAAUCAAACAUUUUCUCACAUGUCUGUGGGUUUGUCCUUAAUUCCAGGCUUAAUGCAUUUUAAGACAUGAAUAGAGAUAAUAAAAUUAAAAGCACUUGUAAAAAUUAAGCCGUAUUUUAUAGAACCCACUUCGUAGAAAUAAAAAUACAUGUUACCCAAUCCCAUCCUAAGAAGCUAACCAGUUAAUCUUGGGCAAGUGACAAUGUUAAAUUCAUUUAGUGCAUUUUAAAUUCAUUUCUUAAUUCAAAGGGCUAAUGUAGAUUUAAAAGGUCUGCAUUCCAUGGAGAAAAGGCUGGAUGUAAAUGUAAAAAAAAAAAUGUCUUGGAUUUUGGUACAUACAAAUGAAAAAAAAUUAAAUAACCAAACCCAUUGAGUUCCUUUUUGUGUGAUAUAUAAUAUUAAAAGGAUAAUGACGAUGCAUUACUUUCAAACAAGUAAUUUUUUCUUUUGGGAAGGAGGCGAUUCUUGAUAGUGUUGAAUUAUUAUAAUGUUUCUUAUUUUUAAUUCUUGAGUUAGUGUAAUGAACUGAAUUUGAGAAAGUAUACCAUGCUUGAGGGGAAACUCUCUGUUUUUUGCCUGAAAACGGUGAAAGUAUCUUAAAAGCUGAUUCUAAUUUAAACUUUUCAAGUCUCUCUCUCUCUCUUUUUCUCUCUCUCUCUCUAGCUUGAGGACACGGCAGGCCCUAGUCACAGGCAUAUUACAGAGCUAAAUAGUGAUGUGAUCCUAGAUAUCCGAUUUCUGCACCCUUCUCAUUCAUAUCACAAAGAUACCAUUAUUUCUGUGGGUUCAAAAGUUCUGUUCUCACGGCUAGCUCAUCAUCUCUAAUUUCAUUGCUGUUGUCUGACUCCUUGGUGAUUGUGCUCCUUGGUGGUUGUGAUAAUUUGUGGAGAAGAUAACAAUUUUCAUUUUAUUUUUCCUUCAUACUGCAAUUUUUUUAUAUAAUUAUGGCAUAUCAACAUGCUAUUGCUUAAGAAUUGAUAAAACUUUUUUUUAAAUAGAGUAAUUUAAGAACAUAACCGUGUGAGCUAAAGUAUUUUAAAGUAUUUUGUGCUUCUCUCAAAAUUCAUGGAAAACUAAGCACUAUAAAGAAUGCUUGAUCAGACUAUAUGAAAAAAAAAUACUUUUGUAGACAUCAGUAAUGCUGUUAAGGUUCUUGAAAGCGUUGUGCUCUUCUAAUUUUAAAAUUUUGUUUAUUCUUAUAGCUUUAAAAUUGCGGAGGGGGAAUUAUUCAGGCUCAUAGUGUGUAUAUCUUGUCUUGGAUGAUACAGCAUGAACUUCCUUCUCCUAUUGUCUUGCUGGGACCUUCAAUUGGAUAUCUUCCCACUAGCUUAAAUCUGGAGAAGACUAAACUUUUUAUUAAUCUACCUGAUUGUCCUCCUGCUUCAUCUUCCCUUGUUUUGAAGACUGCUUCUUGUCAAUUUUUCUGGUGGUAUAAGGUCUUGGAGAAACAUUACUUAAAGCUUUUCAUUGAUAGCUUUGGGAGAAUGGUUGAUCAUUUUUCAUUGUUGAGGGAUCUAGUUCAAGCUUUUGUGAUGUUUUCAUCCAAGUCAAUAGUAAAAAAAACAACCCUGAGGAAUAGUAGCCUGGGACCCUUUCUCUUGUUUUAUAAAGAACUGUUGCGGAGCAUUCUUUAAAUACUUUUUUCCAAGUCAGCUAUGAUCUUUCUAACUGACGAUCAUUCUUUAUAUACUUAAUUAGCUUGCUCAUCAGAAUGCCAUUUGAAAACUCUUUUAUACAUAUGACUACAAAAAUGUUGUAGACUGGAAAUCCUCUUGAGGAAUUAAUUUCAAAUGCUCUCUUCUAUGAUUUUGACAACUUGCUGGAGCAGCCUGCAUGGUUUGCAUUCCACUUGUCCAAUAAAGCCAAGAAAUAAUGAGAUGUUAAUUGGCAGAUGUGGAAUUACAAGUCUGUGUUGGUUUGAGAAUGGAAACUCUUGGCUUCUUCUCCUGCGGAAAAACUGCUGAAAGUAUUUCUCUGAGAUUCUAAUAAUUCAUCAUCGAGUCUAUGUGCUGGGAAAUGCAGUGACCCCAGACACUGAAGCUGGAAGUAAAUAUAUCUGAAUGCUCUAGAGAUGUUUGAAGCUUGCAACAUGUUUGCUCAUCUGCAAGUACUCAACAGAUUUGUAUGUCAACAUUUGGGUCUCCCCUCCCCUCCAAAAAAUAAAAUAAAAAAACCCUCCUGUGUUGACUGUCAGAGCAUUAAAAGAAUAUUAAAGGCUCUCAUAAUGAA